UUACAUCAGCAGGCAUCUACGUGAUAGAGUGUGGAUGGCGCCAUCCAUGGCCAGGCGCCCCCCUGGAUAUCCUCCAAAACCUAGUGGCUAAUACACGGUUGCAACAGUCUGCUACGACUCGGUCCUCGCCAGGCUCUCCAGCCUGCCUUCGCCGGCAGUGGAUUGCGCCCAGCCGUCUGGUAAGACCAGUGCCUGGGACAAUGGCAGCGUGUUCGUGGCUGACUCAGGCUGGUCCCUAUCUUCCCCUUGUGGGUUGCGUGGACGCCAGCGCUGGCAGAGUGGCAGCCUUGGCUGCAGCAUUGCUUGAUCGCACGAGCUUCUGACCUAUCAGCCUCGAUGGUGGUGUAGAGGCCCACCAUGGCGGUGACGGGUAACGGAGAAUCAGGGUUCGAUUCCGGAGAGGGAGCCUGAGAGACGGCUACCACUUCUAAGGAGGGCAGCAGGCACGCAAAUUGCCCCAUGCUGACACAGUCUGGUGAGGCAGCGACGAACUGCAGCAACUCUGCCUGUCCUCAGUGACCAGCAGAGCUUGGAAUGGAUGCAAUCCAAACACAGUGAUGAGUAUCAACUGGAGGGCAAGUCUGGUGCCAGCAGCUGCGGUAAUUCCAGCUCCAAGGGCGUAUACUAACAUUGCUGCUGUUAAAACGCUUGUAGUCUGAUGCUGGGUCGUAGGUCUGCUGGGUGGCAGCUGGGGUUGCGCUCGUGGGUUUGCUUCCUCGCGCAGUCGGGUUCGCCUGGCUGUGUGGGUGGGGUGGGCCUGCGACGUGGCCUCGCUGGUACAACCCCUGGCAGUAUGCUCCUACGCCCGAGUUUCUGCGAUGGUGCGAAUUGCCCCUGCUCCACGUCCCCUUCAGUGUGGGAUCGCUGCGGUUGCAUACCCAACGCUUGUGUGUUGACAUCCAUCAGGGGGCACAGCCUGGUGCUGCGCAUCUACCCCUGGUCCACCACCGGGGUCCACCGUCACUGCCACCGUGAAAAACUCAGUGUGCUCAAGGCAACCGUCACUGGCUGGAUGUUCGUUCAUGGCAUGGCAAAGCAUCGAUCAGAUGUGGCUAUAGAGUUGUGCUGGCCUUGGUGCUCGUUCUGAGGAACCUGGCGUCGUCCACAGGCGGGCCACGUGGUCUGGUGGUCUCUGGCGAGGGGAUUCGUCUCUUCACCAUGCCCCUCUCUGCGUGCCCCUGGCGGGCUUCGUCGAUCGCCUGCGAGGGCACUGCUCGAGGUGAAAGAUAUUGCAACGCCAGAGGUGAAAUUCUUAGAUCGCUGCAAGAUGACCCGCAGCGAAGGCGUUCUGCAAGUGCUCGUGCGUCGAUCAAGAACGUGAGUGUGGGGAGCGAAGAUGAUCAGACACCGUCGUAGUCCACAACUGUAAACGAUGCCAGCUCGGUGUUGGUGGUGAAAGUACACAGACACCAUCAGCGCCAUGCCCCCUGCAACGAGAAAUCCAAGCCUGUGGGUUCAGGGGGGAGUACUGUCGCAAGGCUGAAACUUAAAGGAAUUGACGGAAUGGCACCACAAGGCGUGGAGUAUGCGGCUUAAUUUGACUCAACACGGGGAAUGUUACCAGGUCAGGACGUUGCCAGGAUGGACAGAUUGAAAGCUCUUUCUUGAUCCUUCGGAUGGUGGUGCAUGGCCGCUCCUGAUUGGUGGAGUGAUUUGUCUGGUUGAUUCCGAUAACGAGUGAGACAUCUGCCUCCCAGUAGCCCCAGUCUCGCAUUUGGUAGGGCGACCACAGGCAGCCCCAUGGGCUGGGGGGCAACCUUCGGUUCGUGGGUCGCCAGUGGCUCGCCUGAGAGGCCCGUCGGGCCCAGCUUCUCUGAGGUGCUGUGUACGCCACCAAGUGCAUGCAUGCUAGAGCCAACAGCAGGUCUGUGAUGCUCCCAGAUGUCCUGGGCCGCACGCGCACUACAUUGACCCAGUGAAUAUGUGCUACGCUCGCCUGUCGAGACCUGUUUGGAAGUGAAUGGGGAACCCUUGGAGCCUGUGAUUGGUCGUACUGGGGAUAGAUGAUUGCAACUGUCUGCCUUGAACGAGGAAUGCCUAGUAGGCGUGGGUCAUCAGCCCACGUCGAUUGUGUCCCUGCC
Molecule: ribosomal RNA, 2081 nt
Filed under: Lepocinclis ovum
Lineage: Eukaryota; Euglenozoa; Euglenophyceae; Euglenales; Phacaceae
Description: SSU rRNA
Rfam family: Eukaryotic small subunit ribosomal RNA
Source: RNAcentral